RNAcentral lists this transfer-messenger RNA (374 nucleotides) under Sediminibacterium ginsengisoli. RNAcentral's name for it is "Standard tmRNA". It matches the Rfam family "transfer-messenger RNA". Rfam says of the family: Bacterial tmRNA, also known as 10Sa RNA or SsrA, is named for its dual tRNA and mRNA-like properties. Its role is to liberate the mRNA from a stalled ribosome. Lineage: Bacteria; Pseudomonadati; Bacteroidota; Chitinophagia; Chitinophagales; Chitinophagaceae. The record is from Rfam by way of RNAcentral.
GGGGUCGUACUGGUUUUGACAGCAUAUGUGGCGGUUGGUGUAAGCAUGCAGUGCGUUGUGUAAUUAGCACUUUAAUCUGAAUGCUCAAACUUCAAAUGGCAAUACACAGUAUGCCAUGGCUGCCUAAUCAGAGAUUAGCGUAGUCAUUCGGGCCGCCGAACAGGUUGACCUGUUACCAGGUUCCGCCGCCGACUCAAAACAAACACAGGUUGCUGUAACAGAAGGCUGUGACUGUUACUUAAGACCAUACAGCUAAGUCCGGGAUCGGUUUGUUCGUUCCCUGUUCCGGGCCGACAAAUAAUAAUGAAAUAAGCAUGUAGAAAGCUAAUGGUUACGAUGUUUGGACAGGGGUUCGACUCCCCUCGGCUCCACAG